GGCGGCAGGCUUAACACAUGCAAGUCGAACGGUAGCAGGAAGAAAGCUUGCUUUUUUUGCUGACGAGUGGCGGACGGGUGAGUAAUGCUUGGGAAUCUGGCUUAUGGAGGGGGAUAACUGUGGGAAACUGCAGCUAAUACCGCGUAUAAUCGAGAGAUGAAAGGGUGGGACCGUAAGGCCACUUGCCAUAAGAUGAGCCCAAGUGGGAUUAGGUAGUUGGUGGGGUAAAGGCCUACCAAGCCUGCGAUCUCUAGCUGGUCUGAGAGGAUGGCCAGCCACACUGGGACUGAGACACGGCCCAGACUCCUACGGGAGGCAGCAGUGGGGAAUAUUGCGCAAUGGGGGGAACCCUGACGCAGCCAUGCCGCGUGAAUGAAGAAGGCCUUCGGGUUGUAAAGUUCUUUCGGUGAUGAGGAAGGGGUAUUAUUGAAUAGAUAAUAUCAUUGACGUUAAUUACAGAAGAAGCACCGGCUAACUCCGUGCCAGCAGCCGCGGUAAUACGGAGGGUGCGAGCGUUAAUCGGAA
RNAcentral lists this ribosomal RNA (525 nucleotides) under Pasteurella canis. RNAcentral describes it as "bacterial SSU rRNA". It matches the Rfam family "Bacterial small subunit ribosomal RNA", at positions 38 to 550 of the family's 1533-position model. Lineage: Bacteria; Pseudomonadati; Pseudomonadota; Gammaproteobacteria; Pasteurellales; Pasteurellaceae. The record is from RNAcentral.